CCGAGCCGAAGAUCCUGCUGCUCGACGAGCCCGCGGGCGGCCUCAAUCACGAGGAAGUCUACGUUCUCGGCGACCUGAUCUGCCGUAUCCGCGACCAGCGCAACAUCACGGUUCUGCUCGUCGAACAUCACAUGGGAUUGGUGAUGAAGAUCGCCGAUCACGUCGUCGCACUGAAUUUCGGCAAGAAGCUCGCUGAAGGCACCCCGUCUCAGGUGCAGUCCGACCCCGACGUCAUCAAGGCCUAUCUGGGGAGCAAGGACCAAUGAGCACGAUGCUGACAAUCAGGGACCUGCGUGCCUAUUACGGCCAGGUUCAGGCGCUGCACGGACUGGAAUUCUCCCUCAACGAGGGCAGUGUCACCACACUCCUCGGCGCCAACGGCGCCGGCAAGACCACGACACUGCGGGCGAUCUGCAACAUGAUCCGCUCCACGGGCAACAUCGAGUUCGACGGCA
RNAcentral lists this unclassified non-coding RNA (455 nucleotides) under Hevea brasiliensis (rubber tree). The record is from RNAcentral. Lineage: Eukaryota; Viridiplantae; Streptophyta; Magnoliopsida; Malpighiales; Euphorbiaceae.